UGUCUUUUUGAAAAUAAUAUAAAGUCUAAUCUGCCCACUGAUUAAAUAAUUGAAGGGCUGCAGUAUAUUGACUGUACAAAGGUAGCAUAAUCAUUAGUCAUUUAAUUGGUGACUUGUAUGAAGGAUUUGAUGAAAUAUAAACUGUCUCUUAUUUAAUUAUAAAAUUUAAUUUUUUUAUUAAAAAGUUAAAAUGUAUUAAAAAGACGAGAAGACCCUAUAGAGUUUAAUAAAUUAUUAAAUUGAGAUUAUAUGUAAAUUAAACUUGAAAUUGAGUUAUUUAUUUUGUUGGGGUGACAAAAAAAUAUAUUAAACUUUUUUUAUUUAAAAACAUUUAUAAGUGGUUAAAAUGAUCCAAUAAUGUUGAUUAUAAGAAAAAAUUACCUUAGGGAUAACAGCGUAAUUUUUUUUUUUAGUUCAAAUAAGAAAAAGAGUUUGCGACCUCGAUGUUGGAUUAAGAUAAAAUUUAAAUGUAGAAG
RNAcentral lists this ribosomal RNA (476 nucleotides) under Acrapex sporobola. Its description in RNAcentral is "partial 16S large subunit ribosomal RNA". The record is from RNAcentral. Lineage: Eukaryota; Metazoa; Arthropoda; Insecta; Lepidoptera; Noctuidae.